This is a long non-coding RNA of Cannabis sativa, 276 nucleotides long. RefSeq lists it as uncharacterized. The record is from RefSeq and is a predicted model, not a curated record. The transcript is spliced from 2 exons. NCBI's taxonomy places the organism in Eukaryota, Viridiplantae, Streptophyta, Magnoliopsida, Rosales, Cannabaceae.
UUUUUUUGGGUUUAUUUUCUGUUAUUUUUAUGUGUUUUUUUUUUUUUGUAUAAAAAUGUAGGCAUUUUCGAAGGCAUGGAUUGCUACAUGUAAUUCAGUGGAAAAGAAUCCUAGCUUGUUGGUUCCAAGAGGUCAUACAUUUUUGGUCCAUUCACUCAUCUUUUCUGGCCCAUGCAAACCCUCUAAUUUCUUUUUUCUGAUAGAGGGAGGGAUUGUAGCACCAAAUGGUCCUAGUAAAUGGAAAGGAGGCAAUGAUAGUUUGAUAUUGUUUGAGAA